GACGAACGCUGGCGGCGUGCUUAACACAUGCAAGUCGAACGCUGAAGCUCAGCUUGCUGGGUGGAUGAGUGGCGAACGGGUGAGUAACACGUGAGUAACCUGCCCCCUUCUUUGGGAUAACGCCCGGAAACGGGUGCUAAUACUGGAUAUUCACUGAUCUUCGCAUGGGGGUUGGUGGAAAGGUUUUUUCUGGUGGGGGAUGGGCUCGCGGCCUAUCAGCUUGUUGGUGGGGUGAUGGCCUACCAAGGCUUUGACGGGUAGCCGGCCUGAGAGGGUGACCGGUCACAUUGGGACUGAGAUACGGCCCAGACUCCUACGGGAGGCAGCAGUGGGGAAUAUUGCACAAUGGGCGAAAGCCUGAUGCAGCGACGCCGCGUGAGGGAUGGCGGCCUUCGGGUUGUAAACCUCUUUCGCUCAUGGUCAAGCCGCAACAUUGGUUGUGGUGAGGGUAGUGGGUAAAGAAGCGCCGGCUAACUACGUG
This 481-nucleotide ribosomal RNA is filed under the name uncultured bacterium. Its description in RNAcentral is "partial 16S ribosomal RNA". It matches the Rfam family "Bacterial small subunit ribosomal RNA", at positions 28 to 507 of the family's 1533-position model. The record is from RNAcentral.